RNAcentral lists this ribosomal RNA (465 nucleotides) under Vreelandella stevensii. Its description in RNAcentral is "partial 16S ribosomal RNA". It matches the Rfam family "Bacterial small subunit ribosomal RNA", at positions 338 to 795 of the family's 1533-position model. Lineage: Bacteria; Pseudomonadati; Pseudomonadota; Gammaproteobacteria; Oceanospirillales; Halomonadaceae. The record is from RNAcentral.
CCUACGGGGGGCUGUAGUGGGGAAUAUUGGACAAUGGGCGAAAGCCUGAUCCAGCCAUGCCGCGUGUGUGAAGAAGGCCUUCGGGUUGUAAAGCACUUUCAGUGGGGAAGAAAGCCUUGGGGCUAAUACCCUCGAGGAAGGACAUCACCCACAGAAGAAGCACCGGCUAACUCCGUGCCAGCAGCCGCGGUAAUACGGAGGGUGCGAGCGUUAAUCGGAAUUACUGGGCGUAAAGCGCGCGUAGGCGGUCUGAUAAGCCGGUUGUGAAAGCCCCGGGCUCAACCUGGGAACGGCAUCCGGAACUGUUAGGCUAGAGUGCAGAAGAGGUAGGUAGAAUUCCCAGUGUAGCGGUGAAAUGCGUAGAGAUCGGGAGGAAUACCAGUGGCGAAGGCGGCCUUCUGGACUGACACUGACGCUGAGGUGCGAAAGCGUGGGUAGCAAACAGGAUUAGAUACCCGAGUAGUC